This 301-nucleotide ribosomal RNA is filed under the name Enterococcus hirae. Its description in RNAcentral is "bacterial LSU rRNA". It matches the Rfam family "Bacterial large subunit ribosomal RNA", at positions 2106 to 2406 of the family's 2925-position model. The record is from RNAcentral. RNAcentral also lists the same sequence under 1 other name. Lineage: Bacteria; Bacillati; Bacillota; Bacilli; Lactobacillales; Enterococcaceae.
GUAGUUUGAUAUUGAGUGUCUGUACCGCAUGUACAGGAUAGGUAGGAGCCGUAGAAAUCGGAACGCUAGUUUCGAUGGAGGCGCUGGUGGGAUACUACCCCUGCGUUAUGGCCACUCUAACCCGCACCACUGAUCGUGGUGGGAGACAGUGUCAGAUGGGCAGUUUGACUGGGGCGGUCGCCUCCUAAAAGGUAACGGAGGCGCCCAAAGGUUCCCUCAGAAUGGUUGGAAAUCAUUCGAAGAGUGUAAAGGCAGAAGGGAGCUUGACUGCGAGACCAACAAGUCGAGCAGGGACGAAAGU